This is a long non-coding RNA of Sciurus carolinensis (gray squirrel), 1023 nucleotides long. RefSeq lists it as uncharacterized. Lineage: Eukaryota; Metazoa; Chordata; Mammalia; Rodentia; Sciuridae. The record is from RefSeq and is a predicted model, not a curated record. The transcript is spliced from 3 exons.
AGAAGAAGUCAGUGCCUCUUCGGUCACCUUAAGGAGGACCUGUGGUGGAUGUCUGAAGGAUCUUCCAGAUGUAAAGAAUCACCUGUGUUCAUGUCCGUCACCCAGAGGAUGAAGUACGAGAAAAGAUAUGAAGGACACUGGAUGGACACUUCUAAAGAGAACAUGCUCAAAGUCAGCAAAAUAUGUCACUAAAACAGGGUGAGGAAGACUUUCCCAGGAUGACCCUCAAGACUGGAACCACUGGCACCCAUGAAUCUUUAUUAAGCACCUGCUAUAUGACAGAUGCAUGUGGUCUCACAGCUGGAGACAAGAACCAACUGCGCGCAAAUGGCAUACGGUUGGGAUUCAUCCUAGCCAGAAAUCCUAGCCAGACCACCGGCAGCACCUCCAGGCCGUCUGCCCAGUUGCAGUUUAGGAAACUGAACAAUGUCUGCAAUGUAAGGAAUCCCAUCCACUUAACCUUUAUCAGCCGCUCAGACAGCUGCAGCUGCCACUGAAGGCCCUUGAGAAGAUUUACUUAAGUAUGAAGUUAAAAGUGGGUUUGUCUUUCAUUCAUCACACUUGAAGGGAGCAGGCUCUGGGGAUAGCAAAAGAGACUAGCAGAGUGUGGGUGGGCAAGGCAGACCCUUGCCUGGGCAGCAAGGAGGCUGGCUGCAGAAAGUAUGGAGUGGCAGGCAGCUCUGACCUUUGCACACCCCCGGGGUUGAUGGGGAGGGGAGUCUGAGGAAGAGUCAGCCUGUUGUGGUGAGCUGGAGAUCAAUGGUCUUACCUAUGACAAGGCUGGGUCAUCUCAACUUCCUGGUGGGUGAAAAGUAAAACGGUUACUCUAGAUCUAUUGGGAAUAUUUUAACUGUGGUCAUAAUCAAUUAAAAUUUAUCAUUAUCAAUAUUUAGUAUAUUACAAUGUUGCACAACCAUUACCGCUAUUUAGUCCCAGGAAAUUCCAUCAACCCAAAAGGAAAUCCCAUAUCUAGCUGAGCAUUGUGGUACUGAAAUUUCAGCUACCCGGGAGGCUGAGGCAGAA